RNAcentral lists this ribosomal RNA (253 nucleotides) under uncultured bacterium. RNAcentral describes it as "partial 16S ribosomal RNA". It matches the Rfam family "Bacterial small subunit ribosomal RNA", at positions 524 to 776 of the family's 1533-position model. The record is from RNAcentral.
UACGGAGGGUGCAAGCGUUGUUCGGAAUUAUUGGGCGUAAAGAGCACGCAGGCGGUUUGGCAAGUCGGACGUGAAAAUCCGGGGCUCAACCCCGGACCUGCAUCCGAAACUGCCCGUCUAGAGGUAGGUAGGGGAGAUCGGAAUUCCUGGUGUAGCGGUGAAAUGCGCAGAUAUCAGGAGGAACACCGGUGGCGAAGGCGGAUCUCUGGGCCUUACCUGACGCUCAGGUGCGAAAGCUAGGGGAGCGAACAGG